GAUGAAGAACGCAGCGAAAUGCGAUAAGUAGUGUGAAUUGCAGAAUUUAGUGAAUCAUCGAAUCUUUGAACGCACAUUGCGCCCUAUAGUAUUCUGUAGGGCAUGCCUGUUCGAGCGUUAUUGAGACCUCAAGCUCUGCUUGGAAAUGGGCGCUUGUCUUGCCUUGCAGACUCGCCUUAAAACCAUUGGCAGCUGAUUUACAAUGUUUGGUGCACAGUACAUGAGCCCAAGUGUUGCAAUGAGUGGCCCAAAAGUAUACAAUAGAAGCUUAACCUCGGAUCAGGUAGGGAUACCCGUUGAACUUAAGCAUAUCAAUAAGCGGAGGA
This 326-nucleotide unclassified non-coding RNA is filed under the name soil metagenome. RNAcentral's name for it is "partial contains 5.8S ribosomal RNA, internal transcribed spacer 2, and large subunit ribosomal RNA". The stretch from base 1 to 120 matches the Rfam family "5.8S ribosomal RNA", at positions 35 to 154 of the family's 154-position model. The record is from RNAcentral.